ACUUUCAUCUUCACCAGCCCUUAAACUACCCUGCCUGUUCACACGCCUGAAACCCAAGCGCGCAUUUUGGAGACGAGCCCUAAAGUGGGAAGGGAUUCUUUCCUUUGUCCUGUCCAAACACGUGGUGAAUGAAAAGUUGGAGUCUUCCCCUCUCUGUCCUUCGUGUGUUUGUGUCUGAGAGGAGGAGGAGGGGGUCUCAAGCAGGCAAUGCCUUGUUUCUGCCGGCCAAAUGAGGGAGAUCCGGAUUAAAGAAAUAGAUUAAAAUUGGCCCGCAGCCAGUGACUGAAAUCUACAAGAUGGUUUCCAAAUCCUGGAAGCGGGAGAUCUGGAAUUAAGGAGAGAUUCCCCGUAAAACUCGUCGCCACAGAGCACGUUUUAGUUUUCAGAGAUCUUCUGUGCUUGGGAGCUCAAUCCAGUGUGGCUGCUCUCCAAACUACAGAUGCCUCCAAGAAUUUGUGAUCUCUUCACAAGCCGAACAUCGCUCAAGGAGGAGAAGUCCAGUGAAUGACAUGUCUGAAGUAGAUUGGAGGUGUGCAUGAAACAGGAGCUUUUGGUCACCAGAUCCAAUAUCGUGCAAAGAAACAUCUUUGAAUGGAGAUUUGUUUAAACCACCAAAGCUGUGAAUGACACGGGUAACAUUUAACUUCCUGUCAAAGGUUACGCCAUGGUGGAUUGGUUCAUAACCCAGCGUGUGCUGAGCCAACCUCUACUUCAGGCAGAGCAUCGAUUUCCUAACUGAUGAUGGCAGUGAAUCUUUGAUGAUAUUGGCUAUAGUUCCCACUCCCAUUGUCUGUGAACCAGAACAGGAGCGAGUCGAAAGAGUGCAGCAAACAGCACCCGGUGAACCUGCCGCUGAAGCAUUGGGAUUUCUGAAGAGUCGACCAGUGAAUUAUUGGAGUUUUGAUUUGUUUAGUUUAGAGAUACAGGGCCUUGGCCCGCCUAGUCCGCAGCGACCAACCAUCACACGUAAAUUUGUUCUAUCCUACACACAGGGGACAAAUUACACCAAUUAACCUACAAACCUGCACAUCUUUGGAACAUGGGAGGGAACUGGAGCACCUGAAGAAAACACACGUGGUUACAGAGAGAACGUACGAACUCUACAGUCAGCACCCAUAGUCAGAAUUGAAGCCAGGUCUCUGGCGCUGUAAGACUGCAACUCUACCGCUGCACCACUGUGUAUUAGGAUUGCCUCCCUGAGGGUAAUUAAUUUUUGUCCUUGAGGAUGGUAGAGGUCAGAUCUUUUGCGUGAUGCACUUCUUUGCUAUGUUGAGCUUAGGAGCUUGCUGAUGCACAGCAGGAUCACACAUGGUGACUGUAUUAAAGAGACAAUGCUGCACUGUAUUUGGGGCAGAAAGCUUUUUGCGAGAGACUUAAGACAUAAAGUAAUAGAGUAACUCAGAGGCUCAGGCAGCAUCUCUGGAGAACGUGGGUAGGUGAUGUUUCAGGUCGGAACCCUUUUUCCGACUGAUUGGGGGUGGAAUGAAGCUGAAAAAGAGGAGGUGCAGGACAAAGCCUGGCAAAUUAUAUGGAUACCAGCGAGGGUUUUUUGGAUGUGUGUCCAGGUGGGGCAGAGGAGGUGUGGGUGGGGUCCAAGUGUUCAGCAAAACAGUGGCCGGGUCUAAGCCUGAUCUCGCCAAUGUAAAGGAGGCCACAUCGGAAACACCGAGUGCAGUAGAUGAGGUUCGAAGAGCAUUCAGUACCGUGAUGACUGAAUUGGAAAGUUUGGUCUCCUGAGCAGACUAACAAUCCUCAUAUUGCACAGAAAAACCCUUCAGCAUCCAUUGUGGUUGUCCUUUCAAACUGGAUCUGUACUUGUAGGAUAGCACAACCCUGAGUUCUGGUGGUUUCAUCUGUCCUCUGACUGCUUGUGUCACUGUUGGGCACUCUAAUGUUUUUGAAUUUAUUCAUCUUCUGCAGCCAAAUAAAAGCCCAUAGAAGCAGUGGUCGGUCUGAAGUCUGACCGCUUUUCUCUCGUGUUUCCUGUGGAUGUCGUGCAGAGUCCCAUGAAGACGAGGGGACAAGAAACCCAGCAGGUACAAAAGCAUAGAAAAUGGAUCUCAUCUCAACUCCAUCCUGACCAUCCGUCACCCGUUCACACUAGUGACGUUAUCGCACAUUGUCGUCAACGCCAUACACAGCAGAGGCAAUUUACAGAGGCCAAUUACCUUGUAAACCUGAAUGUCUUUGAGAUGUGGGAGGAAACAGCAAUACCCGGAGGAAUCUCGCAUGGUCUCAGGGAGACAGCAGACAGACAGCACCCAAGGUCAGGAUAGUACAUAUGCAUCUUGCGCCAUGACACAGCAGCUCUACCAGCUGCGUCACUAUGCCGCCCAGUUGCCGUUUGGCAUUAGGACUGAAUUUGUUGUCCUGUUUUGAAGUUUUAUAUGAGCUUCCUAGAUCCUAGAUGUUUUCAAUGGGCGAAUCUCCAGCUCCUGCCACCCUGUAAACAUUUUGGAGCUGCCUCUGUUACGUUCUGCUACAUAAAAGACAUUUGGACAGGGAUAUGAAUUGGGAAAAUAGAUGAAUGUGGGCCAGAAAAAUGGAAAUGAGACCAGCUUAACUCGGACAUCUUGAUCAUCAUGGACAUUGGGCAGAAGGGCCGGUUUCUGUGCUGUAUUCCUCGACACCAGACCCGUAGCACUGCUGAGGGUAUACCCUGCUACAACCUGCUAUAUUGUGCUGUAACCAUGGAGCGCGUACGAGGAGCUGAGGACCUUGCCCCUGUUUUGUGUAGGUUGGGAUGGGCAGCAGUAUUUGCGGCUGCUUUGAUAUUGCACUUGUCCCGGCCUAAACAGAUCAAGAGGAAGUAGUCGCCAUGCCGUGUUUGUGAGGAGCUAUCAAUGAGCUGGUUAGAGGUGAGCCAAGAGGUCUCGGUUUGCUUUCUCCCUCGGUUCUUGAGAUAGCAAUUCAUCCACCAACUGGCCCCACCGUUGAUUCCCUCCUCCCAUACACUUGCUCCUCUCCACCUGAAUCCCUACCAUGCUCCAACAUGAUGCAUCAGAAGUACUUAAUUGAUUUUUGAAUCGGAUUUCAACAUCCCGAAGUUUAACUGUCCCACCGGCCCCUCACUGUUUUCCUCUUGUGCAUUCUGCAUGCUGGUCUUCCUCCUUGCUUUUCUUUCUUUGUUCCCUCUUAUUUUCUGCUGUGCCUUUUAUUAAGACUAUCCAGUGUUGAGAGGCGGAGACUGGAGCAAUUGCUGGGUUUCCCAUGAAGCAUUGCACUUGUCUCGGUCCGACAGUGCUGGUACAACACCACGUCUCAGGGCUCCUGCUUGGCCAGUUCUAUCCCUUUCUUACCACUAUCUUACCCACUGGCUUCCAGAGGCAGCUUAGAUGAGUGGUCGACAUUGCCCAACUGAUCUGGAGUAGAUCAGGGUUGCAGUGUAGCAGGUGAGCUGUUUCUGAUGGGAUGGAGAGCUGCAUAAAGAGAAAUAGCAUGAAACUGGUCCCUUUAACACAUUGGCUAUUGAGUGUCAUUCUUUAAACUAACCCUACCCAACCCCAGUUUUUUACUUCUCUUAACAUUCCCAUCAACUCGCUCCAAAUUCUACAUGCGGUACAGCGGUCAAAUAACGUACCGAACCUGCACAACUUUGGAAUGUGGGAGGAAACCAGAGCACCCAUGUGAAAAUCACACAGUCCCAGGGAGAACGUGCAGACUCCACCCAGACAGCUCUGAGGUCAGGAAUGAACCCAGGUGUCUGGAGCUGUGAGUCAGCGGCUUUUCUAGCUGCACCACUGCUAAACUCACUUUGUGCUCUGUCCCCAGCUGCCCAUGUGGUGCCUUUCUGGUAAAAGGAAAUAUUUGGGCAUGAGUUGAAUUGGUAUACAUGUUUGAAGAUGCAUUGAUAUAAGCAAGUUUUUUUUUUUCCCCCUCCGAUACUGGCUUACAACUUACCCUCUCCUACCUUCAGUGUCUCCACACUUAGUUUAGUUUAGAGAUACAGUGCAGGAACGCCUUUCGGCCCACCGGGUCCACGCCGGCCAGUAAUUCCCGCACAGUACCACUCCUACACCCACUAGGGACAAUCUUUUUUUUUUUACAUUUACCAAGUCAAUUAACCUACAAACCUGUACGUCUUUGGAGUGUUUGUGACCGUGACUCUUGGGUAUUGUCCCAGGUAUAGAUGAGCAACUUACUGUACAGGCCUUGCAAGUAACCUGAUAAAAUGGGGUGUGUAUCUUCUUGGAACUGACUAUCGCUGUCUCAUGGAAAAGAUGGGGAGCGGGAGAUCCAAGUUGCCAUAAUUAUGGUCCAAUUCCUAAAAGCCCAUUGUUUUGUAUUCUGGACUGGAACUCUGCUUUGUCAGCUACAGGGUAAGAUCAGAGAUUGUGCCAAGCUGCUCCACUACUGGUUUGUGUUGUGAUUUAAUGAGUAGAAAAUCAGGGCAUACUUAAUAAAUGUUGAUUUAUCAAAACCUUAAAAGACUCUUGCUCUUCUUUUACAACUUAUGCAGAUUGGCUGCUGAAACCUGUGUAACUUUGAAAGAUGAUGGUUAAAUAUUUAAUUACUAGAUGAAUAGUGUGUGAAAAGAAUCACUGAAUCGAUCCUUGUAAAACAUAUCAAGCAAUCACGAUAAAUGUCCACUGAUUUUCGUUCUCGCUAUGAAAUUAAAUGCAAAGCAAUAAGAACAGGCCACUGGGGAGAGGCAGACAAAUAUGAACCAAAUUCUGCAGACCAUUGUGUCAUCUGGAUAAACCACAGAUACCACACUAUGACCUGGAGUAUACAUUUUCAGGCAGUAUUUCUGCUACUGGACUUGUAUUCCAGGGAUAUUAGCACAUAAGAUGGAAACUGGCUCUUAAUUCCACCAUGAUGCAUUCACUAAAAUGCAAUCUAAAUUAACCCUGUUUAUGUCACUCUUCCCUGUCUAUUUGUGUGCCUGUCCAAAUGCCUCUUAAACGUUGCUCUCAUAUAUGCUUCCACCACUUCCCCUGGCAGAGUGUUCCAGGUAUCUAACACUGUGUUUUCUUAAAACUUGUCAGACCCGGGUGUUAGAAGAUAGAAAAAGUCUAGCACAGGAACGGGCCCUUCAGCCCAACAUGUCUGCUGACUACUAUGUCAAAUUAUAUCACUCCUAUCUGCCUGAUCAUGAUCCAUAUCCCUCUAUUCCCUGUCUGUUCAUGUGUCUGGCUGAAUGUCUCUUAAACAUUGUUAUCAUAUCUGCAGCUUCUACCUCCCCUCGCAGUGUUUUACAGGUGCUUCUGUGUAAAAUAAAAUGUAUUAUAAAUUUAUUUUUAAAUUAUCCCCUUCUUACUUUAAACCUAUGCCCUCUAGAAUGUGCCAUUUCCUCUCUGAGAAUGACUGUACACUUCUAUCCGAUCUCUCCUCUGAAUCUGAUGCUUCUGCAAAACCAACUGCAAAGCUUGUCCAGCCUCUCAUUAUACACUCCUGCACUAUCUCCAAAGCCUGCAAUGUGGCUUAACCAAAGUUCUGACCAGCUGCAACAUUGCUUUGCCAACUUUUAUACUCAAUGCCUAUCCCAAUCAUGUAUGCCCUUUUUAUUUUAACGUGUUGCCUUUUUCAAGAAGCUAUAGACUUGCAUUGCAGGAUCGCCCCUCAAUGACAUUGCUAUUUACUAUAUU
This is a long non-coding RNA of Leucoraja erinaceus (little skate), 5588 nucleotides long. RefSeq lists it as uncharacterized. The transcript has 8 exons. NCBI's taxonomy places the organism in Eukaryota, Metazoa, Chordata, Chondrichthyes, Rajiformes, Rajidae. The record is from RefSeq and is a predicted model, not a curated record.